This 465-nucleotide ribosomal RNA is filed under the name uncultured bacterium. Its description in RNAcentral is "partial 16S ribosomal RNA". It matches the Rfam family "Bacterial small subunit ribosomal RNA", at positions 28 to 507 of the family's 1533-position model. The record is from RNAcentral.
GACGAACGCUGGCGGCGUGCUUAACACAUGCAAGUCGAACGGAAAGGCCCUGCUUGCAGGGUACUCGAGUGGCGAACGGGUGAGUAACACGUGGGUGAUCUGCCCUGCACUUCGGGAUAAGCCUGGGAAGCUGGGUCUAAUUCCGGAUAGGAGCCAUUUUUAGUGUGAUGGUUGGAAAGUUUUUUCGGUGUAGGAUGAGCUCGCGGCCUAUCAGCUUGUUGGUGGGGUAAUGGCCUACCAAGGCGGCGACGGGUAGCCGGCCUGAGAGGGUGGACGGCCACAUUGGGACUGAGAUACGGCCCAGACUCCUACGGGAGGCAGCAGUGGGGAAUAUUGCACAAUGGGCGCAAGCCUGAUGCAGCGACGCCGCGUGGGGGAUGACGGCCUUCGGGUUGUAAACUCCUUUCGCUAGGGACGAAGCUUUUUGUGACGGUACCUAGAGAAGAAGCACCGGCUAACUACGUG